RNAcentral lists this ribosomal RNA (230 nucleotides) under uncultured bacterium. Its description in RNAcentral is "partial 16S ribosomal RNA". It matches the Rfam family "Bacterial small subunit ribosomal RNA", at positions 120 to 334 of the family's 1533-position model. The record is from RNAcentral.
ACCAACCUACCAUCAGGUGAGGGACAACCCGGGGAAACCUGGGCUAAUACCGCAUAAUGUCAUAGUGUCGCAUGGCACAUUGACCAAAGGGGGCCUCUGCUUGCAAGCUCCCGCCUAUUGAGGGGGUCGCGGCGUAUCAGCUAGUUGGUGAGGUAACGGCUCACCAAGGCUACGACGCGUAGCGGGUCUGAGAGGACGACCCGUCACAUUGGGACUGAGAUACGGCCCAG